UUGGGGUGCUCGAGUGGCGAACGGGUGAGUAACACGUGAGUAACCUGCCCUUGACUUUGGGAUAACUUCAGGAAACUGGGGCUAAUACCGGGUAGGAGCUCCUGCUGCAUGGUGGGGGUUGGAAAGUUUCGGCGGUUGGGGAUGGACUCGCGGCUUAUCAGCUUGUUGGUGGGGUAGUGGCUCACCAAGGCUUUGACGGGUAGCCGGCCUGAGAGGGUGACCGGCCACAUUGGGACUGAGAUACGGCCCAG
RNAcentral lists this ribosomal RNA (251 nucleotides) under uncultured Actinomycetales bacterium. RNAcentral's name for it is "partial 16S ribosomal RNA". It matches the Rfam family "Bacterial small subunit ribosomal RNA", at positions 82 to 334 of the family's 1533-position model. Lineage: Bacteria; Bacillati; Actinomycetota; Actinomycetes; Actinomycetales. The record is from RNAcentral.